GGGGGCGAUCCGGAUUCGACGGAGAUAGGCGAACACUGGAUGCAUGCCGAGCACCAUCGACUCGUAAAUCCGAUGGAAAAAACCAUAACUGCAGAUACGCAGCUACCACUCGCCGCCUAAUUAGGCGACGACGUUCCCCUUAUCCUCGCCUGCGGGAUGAGACGGAACGUCAUUUAGCAGGCUGGCCACAGCCAGAUGCGUCGACUGACUGUGGUGAGAUCUUUCGAUGCUCAGCCACUUGUGGUUUUAGCCACGCUCUCACAUGAGUGGUGAAAUGACAGGCGUGGACACGCAUGUAGAGUCCAGCGGGGACUUAUCUUCGGACGCGGGUUCGACUCCCGCCGCCUCCACCA
This 353-nucleotide transfer-messenger RNA is filed under the name Acidobacteriota bacterium. RNAcentral's name for it is "Acidobacteria bacterium transfer-messenger RNA". It matches the Rfam family "transfer-messenger RNA". From Rfam's summary of the family: Bacterial tmRNA, also known as 10Sa RNA or SsrA, is named for its dual tRNA and mRNA-like properties. Its role is to liberate the mRNA from a stalled ribosome. To accomplish this part of the tmRNA is used as a reading frame that ends in a translation stop signal. RNAcentral also lists the same sequence under 2 other names. The record is from RNAcentral. Lineage: Bacteria; Pseudomonadati; Acidobacteriota.